GGAAUAUUGCGCAAUGGGGGGAACCCUGACGCAGCGACGCCGCGUGGGUGAUGAAGGCCUUCGGGUCGUAAAGCCCUGUCGUAAGGGAAGAAAUCGUUAUCGGCUAAUACCCGGUGGCGUUGACGGUACCUUA
Molecule: ribosomal RNA, 133 nt
Filed under: uncultured bacterium
Lineage: Bacteria
Description: partial 16S ribosomal RNA
Rfam family: Bacterial small subunit ribosomal RNA
Source: RNAcentral